Molecule: ribosomal RNA, 468 nt
Filed under: uncultured bacterium
Lineage: Bacteria
Description: partial 16S ribosomal RNA
Rfam family: Bacterial small subunit ribosomal RNA
Source: RNAcentral
GACGAACGCUGGCGGCGUGCUUAACACAUGCAAGUCGAACGGAAAGGCCCUGCUUUUGUGGGGUGCUCGAGUGGCGAACGGGUGAGUAACACGUGAGUAACCUGCCCUUGACUUUGGGAUAACUUCAGGAAACUGGGGCUAAUACCGGAUAGGAGCUCCUGCUGCAUGGUGGGGGUUGGAAAGUUUCGGCGGUUGGGGAUGGACUCGCGGCUUAUCAGCUUGUUGGUGAGGUAGUGGCUUACCAAGGCUUUGACGGGUAGCCGGCCUGAGAGGGUGACCGGCCACAUGGGGACUGAGGUACGGCCCAGACUCCUACGGGAGGCAGCAGUGGGGAAUAUUGCACAAUGGGCGGAAGCCUGAUGCAGCAACGCCGCGUGCGGGAUGACGGCCUUCGGGUUGUAAACCGCUUUCGCCUGUGACGAAGCGUGAGUGACGGUAAUGGGUAAAGAAGCACCGGCUAACUACGUG